UCCGGGUUUCCCCAUUCGGCGAUUGGGACGAAGUCGUAACAAGGUAGCCGUACCGGAAGUUGCGGCUGGGUCACCUCCUUUCUAAGGAGCACCACGAGACCUGCGUCGGCCCCGUAAAUUGCGGGAUCAGCUGAGCGUUAGGCGAUUCGUUGGAUGGCUCGACCUCUGUAGUGGAGGCGGGUCUGGUGCAUCAACAAACGUGGGUCCCUUUUGGGGGCUAUUACUGCCAGGCACACUAUUGGGCUUUGAGACAACAGGCCCAGCGGGAUCCGCGCCUGUGUGGUGGGGGUUGCCGGCCGCGAGUACUGGGUGUUUUCCUGGUGUGGACGGUUGCUGUUGUCGCCCUGCUUUGGUGGUGGGGUGUGGUGUUUGAUUUGUGGAUAGUGGUUGCGAGCAUCUCGCAUACAAGAAGGCUCCGGCUGGGGUUCCUCUGGUUUUUCUGGGGGUUCUGUGGUUGGGGUGUUGUUGUGUGUGUUUGAUGUGCAAUUUCUUUUUCUUUUUCUGGUUUUUUGUGUUGUAAGUGUUUAAGGGCGCAUGGUGGAUGCCUUGGCAUCAGGAGCCGAUGAAGGACGUGGGAGGCUGCGAUAUGCCUCGGGGAGCUGCCAACCGAGCGUGGAUCCGAGGGUGUCCGAAUGGGGAAACCCGGA
This 647-nucleotide unclassified non-coding RNA is filed under the name Bradyrhizobium liaoningense. RNAcentral's name for it is "partial contains 16S-23S ribosomal RNA intergenic spacer and large subunit ribosomal RNA". The stretch from base 515 to 647 matches the Rfam family "Bacterial large subunit ribosomal RNA", at positions 1 to 132 of the family's 2925-position model. The record is from RNAcentral. Lineage: Bacteria; Pseudomonadati; Pseudomonadota; Alphaproteobacteria; Hyphomicrobiales; Nitrobacteraceae.